GCACUGCUGAGGAGUCCCAUAAUAUGACGAAACGGCUGUCCAGUGC
This is a non-coding RNA of Schistosoma rodhaini, 46 nucleotides long. The record is from Rfam. Lineage: Eukaryota; Metazoa; Platyhelminthes; Trematoda; Strigeidida; Schistosomatidae.